CGUCCCAUUGAAAUCAGUGGGGAUAUGCAUCUACUCAUCUUUACAAUCUGGAGCUGUUUGGAAGUGGGGCACUAUUAGUACCUCUCGUGUGGAGUUUUAUUUUUUCCCUCCAGUUUCCUUGCCUCUUGCAACAUUUUUAUAUGGCCUUCACUCCCUAUAAAGUAGGGAGUAUGGUAGCAAUACUGUAACUGUUUCAGCUAUACACUGUUACACAUGAUUUGAACAAAGUGAUUGUGUGAGAGGGACAUUCAUAGAGUGGAAGAGAUGGAGCAUGAGCUGGAACUUUUUUAUUGGGAUUUAUUUUCAGAAGUAUUUCUCUUUAAUGACUGCUGUACUGUAAAUGAUUUCUGAAGGUAGUCUGUUCGUCCUGAAAUCCUGUUCUGUCCCCUUUGUUGUGGAAGUUUUCAGCUUUUCUGAGAAAGAUGCUAGAAGAAAAACUCUACCCAGAAAAGUGUUGUUUUGUUGACAAUCCUGCAACAGCACAGGGCACAGCAGCAGCUGGAAUCAGUGUGAGCGCUUAGGUGGGGGAAAGCAUCCUCAAUGCAAUUCCAGGUAACUCAGAUUCUGGUAUUCAUGCUAUCUUGCUGUGUUUCUCUAGUGGUGACCAUUACUAGUACAGUUUAUGCUGAAUGUCCUCAAAACCACCUGUGAAACUUUUGAAAUAAGGCAAACAAAGGAAAGAUGAAACAUAAAGAUUUUUUUUUUUUCUUCUUUUAAACCUUGAUACAUUUUUCUUCUUAUAAAUCUUGGUACAGAUUCAUUUAGAAUAAGCGUUAAGGUAAACAAGAUCCAUGAAGUAAUUUGAUUGUUUACAACAUCUUUCAGACCACCUGAUGUGCUAUUAAACUUUUAUCGCAAUUAAAAUCACCAUCCAAAUGAGAAAUGCAAUACUGAUGUUAAUUUACCUUGUUUACUUAAGACCGAAAACUGCACUUAGUGGGUGCUUAAGAAGGAAAAUACCUGAGGAAAAUACCUGAAGACAUUAAUUUCAUAAGCUGUCAGUUGGGAA
This 1009-nucleotide long non-coding RNA is filed under the name Numida meleagris (helmeted guineafowl). RNAcentral's name for it is "lncRNA (ENSNMEG00000014680.1)". The record is from RNAcentral. Lineage: Eukaryota; Metazoa; Chordata; Aves; Galliformes; Numididae.